Molecule: ribosomal RNA, 497 nt
Filed under: uncultured bacterium
Lineage: Bacteria
Description: partial 16S ribosomal RNA
Rfam family: Bacterial small subunit ribosomal RNA
Source: RNAcentral
GAUGAACGCUGGCGGCGUGCCUAAUACAUGCAAGUCAAGCGAACGGACGAGAAGCUUGCUUCUCUGAUGUUAGCGGCGGACGGGUGAGUAACACGUGGAUAACCUACCUAUAAGACUGGGAUAACUUCUGGAAACCGGAGCUAAUACCGGAUAAUAUUUUGAACCGCAUGGUUCAAAAGUGAAAGACGGUCUUGCUGUCACUUAUAGAUGGAUCCGCGCUGCAUUAGCUAGUUGGUAAGGUAACGGCUUACCAAGGCAACGAUGCAUAGCCGACCUGAGAGGGUGAUCGGCCACACUGGAACUGAGACACGGUCCAGACUCCUACGGGAGGCAGCAGUAGGGAAUCUUCCGCAAUGGGCGAAAGCCUGACGGAGCAACGCCGCGUGAGUGAUGAAGGUCUUCGGAUCGUAAAACUCUGUUAUUAGGGAAGAACAUAUGUGUAAGUAACUGUGCACAUCUUGACGGUACCUAAUCAGAAAGCCACGGCUAACUACGUG